RNAcentral lists this ribosomal RNA (196 nucleotides) under uncultured bacterium. Its description in RNAcentral is "partial 16S ribosomal RNA". It matches the Rfam family "Bacterial small subunit ribosomal RNA", at positions 328 to 538 of the family's 1533-position model. The record is from RNAcentral.
ACGCUCGACACCUACGGGAGCAGCAGCGGGGAAUAUUGCACAAUGGGGGAAACCCUGAUGCAGCAACGCCGCGUGAAGGAAGACGGUUUUCGGAUUGUAAACUUCUGUUCUUAGUGAAGAUAGUGACGGUAGCUAAGGAGCAAGCCACGGCUAACUACGUGCCAGCNCGCGGACGUAUNGNGGCGGCGUGACGAGC